UACGUAGGGGGCAAGCGUUGUCCGGAUUUAUUGGGCGUAAAGCGCUCGCAGGUGGUUCGAUGCGUCGUGCGUGAAAGACCCCGGCUCAAUUGGGGAGGGUCGUGCGAUACGGUCGAACUGGAGGCCAGUAGGGGGAUGCGGAAUUCCGGGUGUAGUGGUGGAAUGCGUAGAGAUCCGGAGGAACACCAGCGGCGAAGGCGGCAUCCUGGACUGGUCCUGACACUCAUGAGCGAAAGCGUGGGGAGCGAUCCGG
RNAcentral lists this ribosomal RNA (253 nucleotides) under uncultured bacterium. RNAcentral's name for it is "partial 16S ribosomal RNA". It matches the Rfam family "Bacterial small subunit ribosomal RNA", at positions 524 to 776 of the family's 1533-position model. The record is from RNAcentral.